Molecule: long non-coding RNA, 1518 nt
Organism: Lepisosteus oculatus (spotted gar)
Lineage: Eukaryota; Metazoa; Chordata; Actinopteri; Semionotiformes; Lepisosteidae
Source: RefSeq, a predicted model, not a curated record
UCCCUCGGUGAAACUUUCUGAGAAGUUCCAUUCAUAGAUCUUCCACGAGGCUUUGGUUUACCUGUGUUGUCAAAUCGACCGCUGUGGCUGAUCAGCUCACCCAUCCCCGGACGCAGGAGCAGAGGAAGCAGUCUGCAGACACACUUGUCGCCCGAGCCGAUCAAGUGAUGUUUCUCCUUACUGUCGGGAGGGGAACCUCAUAACGAAAGCUUUUUCCGGGUGUGAGACUAUGUAAAUCGGUUCUGAUGAUUUCCCAAGCAGCUCUAAAAGCCACAAACCAAUUUUAGUUCCAUACUUGUGGCUUCAAUACAGCACGUGCAUCGGUUUACAAAACGACACCUUCUUGCAGGACCUGACAGCAUUGGCGUUUUAAAUUUUGCAAUCGGGAUUAAUUAAUCUGGAUUAAGAGCAGCCUUUAACUGGGAAGAUUAUUUAAUGUUCCUGUUGAGGCAGCAGUCAGGAGCUCACACACUGCUAAUCUGGUUUGAAGGCUUGUCACUUAAAUGGCUGGGCACUUUGGCAUCUUUGAACUGCUUUGAAAAACACAAAGGAUCAUGCUGUAAAAGUCUGGCAAACUGCCUUGCAAACAAACACACACAAAUAAACAAAACAUGACUGUUGAGAAAUAUAUGGCAGACUGCUUACUAUGUGCAGUUAUGUACUCAGACAGAGAGAUGAGAUAAGAGACGUCUGAACAAAAUCAAAAGCUCUUUAAAUCUGAAGCUCAUGCUCCUUCAUAGAACAUUGAUUGAUGUAAAACGUCCUGACAAAAACUGUUUGUUUGUAGGCAACCUGGAUAUUUCUUUUUCAGGUUAGGUGCAAUUCAGAGGUCUUAAAGAGCUACUUAAAAGUCAGCUGUGUCCCUUGUUUGUUUCUACUGGUGACAGUGUCUUAUUAUUUCAUACAUGGUUGUAUGAUUAAUGAGAGGUUUUGUGAAGGGGGAAUGGAUAAUGAAUUAAAUCUGCAAGGACCACAUCUUUUCUAAAGAUGAUCCUACACAAGUAACAUGUUAGUAAUUAUAAGUUAAAUCCCUUUUGUGCUGUGGUGUAAUUCUGUCUAUCACAUCCACUGAACUGUUAUUCUGCAAGAAAAUAUAUAUUUUUCAGUCAGAAAUUAAAUGCACUGUCUGUUCAACAUAAAAAAUUAACCAGAAAAUAGGUCUCUUUCAGACGUUUUUUUUUUCUGCGUGACCUUCAAGAAUUUAAGAUCAGACUUUACCAAUAGUCAAGUGUUACCUUGAGAAAUGAAAGAAACAGCUUUCUCCUGCAGUCAGUCUGCAGACACCUUACAAAUGUGAAAUUGUUUUCGUUCAGAUAAGAAUUUGAGAAUCUAUGUCAAUUUCUCCUCAGGUGUGCCAUAUCUUCAAGACAGCUCCUUUUCAUUUUGUUUAACGGUAACAGUGAAGAUUUUUAAAUGUGAUUCUCGCAGCUGAAGACCUGAAGUACUGUACAUAAUACAUUUAUGCAAAUACAAAUAUUUGGUUUAAUCUUCAUUUACAUGUAUUAGAUGAAGUACAGU